UACAGUCCACAAAAGCCCAAAAAAAUAGUUUAAUUUUCCACUGUCCUAUCACCAAUUAUGCCUUGCAAUUUUGUUUUCACAUUUGCUUUGUUGAGUUUGUGUCCCUGGUUGAGUCUAGUUGCUGGUUUUGAUUGUGUUCGUCAUCGUAGUUCAAUUGCACCAUUGCUGUUAUUAGUUUCUGCCGCUAUCCCAUCCACUGUUUCCAAACAACAAGUCAAAGACAUCAUAUUACUCGACUUGCCCCCGCUAGCCGCAUUGUGUGAUCUCUUGCCGCUACGUUAACCCUAGAUAGGUUGCCAGCCACUGUUAUUUUGCCUGCUUCGCAGCCCUCCUUACAUCAUCAGGCGAAUACCUACUACUGUUAGUCACAGGAAUGAUUCAUCAUGUGAUCGGUGUUGGAGUUUAGGGACACUUUGACCUAACUGCCGUUGCCGCCGCCGCCGUGUUGUGUCUUUCGAAAAACAUAACUUGAGAUACCUUAGGUAAAAUAGGCAUAACUUUUCGCUCAUUUAUCAGAAAAAUCUGAAAUUUUUUAGCAGCUUCUUGACACCAUUUGGUCCCGACCCAAACUAGGAUCUGUCCUAUUUUCUCUCGUCAAAAUUGCCAAAAAAAUUCGGGAAAACAAAGAAAAAAAAUUGUUAAGGGUUUUCCACGCGUUUCGGAGAACUUGCUGAAUUUCUGUAGACCACAUCUGACCUCAGUUGUAGGUGCCAAUUUUUGUGGUUACAUAUUUUAUGUUCCUUGUUCAGAGAAAAAUAUAAAAAAAUAGUGGAAAAAUAAAAAAUGUUGAUUCCUACUAGUGCCUUUUGGAAAAAUCUAGGAUAAAUGAGGAUAAAGGAAAACUCUGUCCUAUUGCUUGUUGCGCUACAUCUAGACACGUCUUAGCCAGCAAUUAUGAUUUGUCCUUUGGAUACUUAUUAAACUUAGCUAACUCUGCAUUCGAAUAUUGCUAAUCCUUGCUACUUAUAUUAUGCUUGUCCAAAGCUCCACAUAUACUUUUACCAGCACAGGUUCAUCUUGCAACUGUUUACCCACGCUCAACAACAGAUUGCUUUGUCAAUUUGGUUUAGCUCCUGUUUAGCUUUGGUAAGAACACUUGUAAGAUGGUGAUAAGCCACUUCUGAUUCUGUAUUCCACUUUCACCGCCACCACCACCACUUGGUUCCUUUUAGUUGAAUAGGGAUAAUACUUUGCUGUUGUUUUCCCUAUUUUCUAACCAUGGUUGGAUCUCC
RNAcentral lists this long non-coding RNA (1232 nucleotides) under Sorghum bicolor (sorghum). RNAcentral describes it as "long non-coding RNA (SBIC_LNC004575)". Lineage: Eukaryota; Viridiplantae; Streptophyta; Magnoliopsida; Poales; Poaceae. The record is from RNAcentral.